GGCUACACACGUGCUACAAUGGGUAGAACAGAGAGUCGCAAAGCUGUGAAGUGGAGCUAAUCUCAGAAAACUAUUCUUAGUUCGGAUUGUACUCUGCAACUCGAGUACAUGAAGUUGGAAUCGCUAGUAAUCGCGAAUCAGCAAUGUCACGGUGAAUACGUUCUCGGGUCUUGUACACACCGCCCGUCACACCACGAGAGUUGGUUGCACCUGAAGUAGCAGGCCUAACCGUAAGGAGGGAUGCUCCGAGGGUGUGAUUAGCGAUUGGGGUGAAGUCGUAACAAGGUAUCCGUACGGGAACGU
This 303-nucleotide ribosomal RNA is filed under the name uncultured Fusobacterium sp. Its description in RNAcentral is "bacterial SSU rRNA". It matches the Rfam family "Bacterial small subunit ribosomal RNA", at positions 1212 to 1513 of the family's 1533-position model. The record is from RNAcentral. Lineage: Bacteria; Fusobacteriati; Fusobacteriota; Fusobacteriia; Fusobacteriales; Fusobacteriaceae.